AGACAUGAACAUGUCUAGAUAUACUCCUGGAUAAUAUUAGCUGAAAACGAUUUAUUAGAGCCCUUAUCAAUAAUCUGCUUUUUGUGAUCCAACGGGUACUCUCUUGUUGAAGAUUAAUAAUAGAAUACCUACACUCAGAACCUCGGGAGAAUUGAUGUUUGCGACAAGACCUUCAACAGCAAGAUAGUUGAGGAAAGCAUGGACUGCUGCCCGCCACCCAGUGCAGAGCUUUGUACCAGGGUGAACUGCCUUUCCUCCAUGGUUGAUGGCGAAGAAAAAAGGACUGACUGGUUGAAGCAUUGAAGCAGGACGAUUUUCCCGAUACAUCUUGUUCCAGGCCACUGGAUCCCUGUCAGGUUCUUCUGGAAUGCUGUAUGCACGGGGCUUCCUGUGGAUGUCAUUAGGAUUGGCUCCCGUACGUGUCUUGGACUGACCCUCUGAGAUGUCGCUCAAAGGAGGAGAGAAAGUUUCUCAGUGAGGAAGGCUCAUUCUCCGAUUCAUCGUUCUUUCUAACAGUGAUGAAGAACAUGUUGAGAUAAUCUUUAAGGACAGGUGACUCAAUCUCUUCUAUAGCCCUAACCUCACCUUCCUGCGCCAGGAACUGCUUUAAAAGAUUCAGGUCGUACAAGUUUUUUUUUCUUUGUGUUUUCAUUUGCAUGUUCUUCAAGAUAUUUAUCGACAUCACCAGUACUUAUCUUUGAAAAUCUGUGAGUCUUAUUUUGCUGGACAUACUGGAUAGGUUCAAUUUGUUCCUGGAUAGAUUUUGUUUGUUGCUGGAUAAGUUCUGUUUGUUCAAGAAAUCUAAAGUCCCAAUCUGCCAGUAAAACAUCGAUUUCACUCAUUUUGAGU
This is a long non-coding RNA of Haliotis rufescens (red abalone), 849 nucleotides long. RefSeq lists it as uncharacterized. NCBI's taxonomy places the organism in Eukaryota, Metazoa, Mollusca, Gastropoda, Lepetellida, Haliotidae. The transcript has 3 exons. The record is from RefSeq and is a predicted model, not a curated record.